AUACGGAGGGUCCGAGCGUUAUCCGGAAUUAUUGGGUUUAAAGGGUCCGUAGGCGGGCCAUUAAGUCAGGGGUGAAAGUCUGCGGCUCAACCGUAGAAUUGCCUUUGAUACUGAUGGUCUUGAGUUAUAGUGAAGUUGGCGGAAUAUGUAGUGUAGCGGUGAAAUGCAUAGAUAUUACAUAGAACACCGAUUGCGAAGGCAGCUGACUAACUAUAUACUGACGCUGAGGGACGAAAGCGUGGGGAGCGAACAGGAUUAGAAACCCUUGUAGUCC
This 274-nucleotide ribosomal RNA is filed under the name uncultured bacterium. Its description in RNAcentral is "partial 16S ribosomal RNA". It matches the Rfam family "Bacterial small subunit ribosomal RNA", at positions 523 to 796 of the family's 1533-position model. The record is from RNAcentral.